Molecule: long non-coding RNA, 739 nt
Filed under: Capsella rubella
Lineage: Eukaryota; Viridiplantae; Streptophyta; Magnoliopsida; Brassicales; Brassicaceae
Description: long non-coding RNA (CRUB_LNC004383)
Source: RNAcentral
UCCUCAUCAAAAGAUAAUGGCACUAACACAUAACUCAUUAAGUUACACUACGUACAAUUGAAAUCAACGGGAUUACAAAACACACUAAAAUAGCUAUCUAAUGAUAACUUUUUAAAAACGGUUAAAUUUUUUUUUUUUUUUUUUUAAUUAUUUCAGGUAAAGGAACUUUCCUAAAAACAUUAAUUGAUAAAGAUAACUUAUAUAAUUUUCAUGAAAUGUUUACUUUUUUGAGUUUUUCAAAGAGCAAAUUCGUUCCCCAAACAGACGCUAUCCUAAAUGGAACAUAUUAAACACACGGAACAAGUUGUGUUGCGUACGGUAUUAUUAUUCAUGUUUUGCAUAUACAAUAUUAUGUCAAUGGCAAAUAUAUUAAAAAUGUUUUGCAUGUUGUGCAUUUUGCCUAACGUUUAUGGAACACACAAACGUUACGUACAUCCCAAUUCGCCGUUCUACUAAUUCGUAUUUCUUCAUACUUAUAUGUAUGCAUUCAAAUAUAGAAAUUUAAUGGAGUCAUGGGUGUUGGUGUGUGGUAACAUUUACAUAAACAUAAGCAUAAAGAUUUUCAAAAAAAUUGAACGAAAAAAAUAAAAACACUCGAAAUUGGAAUCCAAGGCAACAAGGAGACUAUAGCCCCACAUUUAUCAUAAUAAAUACAAUCAAUUAAUUUCCUCUACUACUACUACAUGACCUUAUCAGAAAAAGCUCAUAAAAACCAAAUGAGCCCACACCCUUCUCCUUC